This 423-nucleotide ribosomal RNA is filed under the name uncultured rumen bacterium. RNAcentral's name for it is "bacterial SSU rRNA". It matches the Rfam family "Bacterial small subunit ribosomal RNA", at positions 354 to 776 of the family's 1533-position model. The record is from RNAcentral.
GUGGGGAAUAUUGCACAAUGGGGGAAACCCUGAUGCAGCAACGCCACGUGUGGGAAGAAGCAUUUCGGUGUGUAAACCACUGUCAUGAGGGAAUAAGGCCCGCCUUCGGACGGGAUUGAAUGUACCUUGAGAGGAAGCACCGGCAAACUUCGUGCCAGCAGCCGCGGUAAUACGAGGGGUGCAAGCGUUGUUCGGAAUUACUGGGCGUAAAGGGAGCGUAGGCGGAGAUUCAAGCGGAUUGUACAAUCCCGGGGCCCAACCCCGGCUCUGCAGUCCGAACUGGAUCUCUUGGAUAGUUCAGGGGCAGGCGGAAUUCCUGGUGUAGCGGUGGAAUGCGUAGAGAUCAGGAAGAACACCGAUGGCGAAGGCAGCCUGCUGGGGACUUAUCGACGCUGAGGCUCGAAAGUGCGGGUAGCAAACAGG